AGACCAGCCCAGUGAGUCGAGCUCUCGUACGAGCACAACAUCGGGAUUGGUGACGGGAUCCUCGUACAAUCUCACUGAAUCUUCCACUGCACCGCGCACGUCCAAGUCGUCGGAGACGUCGGUGGGAAGUACAAGAACGCUAGCGACCACCCCGACAGUUCAGCAACGAAGAGGCGAAGCCCAGUGGCCACAUACGCUCCACCUCCGACCCGCGGAUGCCCUUGGCGGUACGUGCCUCAGUGGUAUUCUUCCAGGGAGCCAUGAGGUGACUUCAGCGUGGGGCAGCUCGAACAGAAAGCCAAUGUUGUUUAUAACUAGGGAAUAAGAUUGACAUA
This is a long non-coding RNA of Dermacentor andersoni, 335 nucleotides long. RefSeq lists it as uncharacterized. The record is from RefSeq and is a predicted model, not a curated record. Lineage: Eukaryota; Metazoa; Arthropoda; Arachnida; Ixodida; Ixodidae.